GAUCCAGACUUUGAUUCUGGCUCAGGACGAACGCUGGCGGCGCGCCUAACACAUGCAAGUCGAACGAGCAAAGAGGAGCUUGCUUCUCUGAGCGAGUGGCGAACGGGUGAGUAACGCGUGAGGAACCUGCCUCAAAGAGGGGGACAACAGUUGGAAACGACUGCUAAUACCGCAUAAGCCCACGGGUCGGCAUCGACCAGAGGGAAAAGGAGCAAUCCGCUUUGAGAUGGCCUCGCGUCCGAUUAGCUAGUUGGUGAGGUAAUGGCCCACCAAGGCGACGAUCGGUAGCCGGACUGAGAGGUUGAACGGCCACAUUGGGACUGAGACACGGCCCAGACUCCUACGGGAGGCAGCAGUGGGGAAUAUUGCACAAUGGGGGAAACCCUGAUGCAGCGACGCCGCGUGGAGGAAGAAGGUCUUCGGAUUGUAAACUCCUGUUGUUGAGGAAGAUAAUGACGGUACUCA
RNAcentral lists this ribosomal RNA (465 nucleotides) under uncultured Bacillota bacterium. RNAcentral's name for it is "bacterial SSU rRNA". It matches the Rfam family "Bacterial small subunit ribosomal RNA", at positions 1 to 481 of the family's 1533-position model. Lineage: Bacteria; Bacillati; Bacillota. The record is from RNAcentral.